Molecule: ribosomal RNA, 876 nt
Filed under: Meloidogyne incognita (southern root-knot nematode)
Lineage: Eukaryota; Metazoa; Nematoda; Chromadorea; Rhabditida; Meloidogynidae
Description: SSU rRNA
Rfam family: Eukaryotic small subunit ribosomal RNA
Source: RNAcentral
UUUGGGGAACCAUUCUACUAGCCCGGACCGUGAAGGUGAAUUCUUGGACCGUGGCCAGACAAACUACAGCGAAAGCAUUUAAAGGUAUUUUUAUUAAUCAAGAACGAAAGUCAGAGGUUCGAAGGCGAAAGAUACCGCCCUAGUUCUGACCGUAAACGAUGCCAACUAGCGAUCCGCCGAUGGAAAUUAUAUUGCCUUGGUGGGGAGCUUCCCGGAAACGAAAGUCUUCCGGUUCCGGGGGAAGUAUGGUUGCAAAGCUGAAACUUAAAGGAAUUGACGGAAGGGCACCACCAGGAGUGGAGCCUGCGGCUUAAUUUGACUCAACACGGGGAAACUCACCCGGCCCGGACACUGUGAGGAUUGACAGAUUGAUAGCUUUUUCAUGAUUCAGUGGAUGGUGGUGCAUGGCCGUUCUUAGUUCGUGGAGUGAUUUGUCUGGUUUAUUCCGAUAACGAGCGAGACUCUAACCUACUAAAUAGUUGGUACAUACUCUUAGUGUAUACAGCUUCUUAGAGGGAUUUGCGGCGUUCAGCCGAAAGAAAUUGAGCAAUAACAGGUCUGUGAUGCCCUUAGAUGUCCGGGGCUGCACGCGCGCUACACUGGCAAAAUCAACGUGCUUGUCCUACCCUGAAAGGGGCGGGUAAACCAUUGAAAAUUUGCCGUGAUUGGGAUCGGAAAUUGCAAUUAUUUUCCGUGAACGAGGAAUUCCAAGUAAGUGCGAGUCAUCAGCUCGCGUUGAUUACGUCCCUGCCCUUUGUACACACCGCCCGUCGCUGCCCGGGACUGAGCCAUUUCGAGAAAUUUGGGGACCGUUGAUUUAAUUUUUCUAAAUUACUUUUGAUGGAAACCCAAUUUUAAUCGCAGUGGGCUUGAACC